GCCGGUGUAGCUCAGUUGGCUAGAGCAGCUGAUUUGUAAUCAGCAGGUCGUGGGUUCGAAUCCCUCCAUCGGCU
RNAcentral lists this transfer RNA (74 nucleotides) under Flavobacterium sp. RNAcentral's name for it is "tRNA-Thr". It matches the Rfam family "tRNA". From Rfam's summary of the family: Transfer RNA (tRNA) molecules are approximately 80 nucleotides in length. RNAcentral also lists the same sequence under 1 other name. The record is from RNAcentral. Lineage: Bacteria; Pseudomonadati; Bacteroidota; Flavobacteriia; Flavobacteriales; Flavobacteriaceae.